RNAcentral lists this long non-coding RNA (5943 nucleotides) under Arabidopsis lyrata. Its description in RNAcentral is "long non-coding RNA (ALYR_LNC001126)". The record is from RNAcentral. Lineage: Eukaryota; Viridiplantae; Streptophyta; Magnoliopsida; Brassicales; Brassicaceae.
AUAAAAGUUUUUUGGUAUCAACUUAUAAGAGAAAAUAAUGAAGAACAAAGUAUUGUUUCUUUUAAAAAAGAAUAAAAAAAGAAAAGGAUUAUUAUCCAAAAUCCCAUUUGUUAGCUCAAAUGUUGUGGAUCUACCAUUUUCUAUAUGAGUUUCUGGAUUUACCACUUUUGGUUCAAAAAAAAUAUAAUUUUAUCCUUCACAUAUCCACAAAAUUAUGUACAUCCAUCCCUCACAUCCACCACCGCAAGCAUCGGGAUAAAGCAACUCACGUUCCUUUUCUAAAGCAUGUGCAUUGUCACGUUCCCUUUCUUCAGCAGGAGCUAAUGUGUCACAUUCAAACCCUGCCUAUAAACACCACCGGAAAACAUCAACCAAUGGGAGCAGGUUACAAGAACACAACGGCUAUCUAGAAUUGAAUAGUAUGAACAAGGAGUUAAGAAAACACUUUUCUUUAUUAACUUUAGAACUAACUCAAACUAAAGUUUUCCUUAAUCUCUCUCAAUUCUCACAAGCUAUAUCACAACCCGAUAUAUUCUUAUAUAGUAAAGUCUCAAACCCUAAUCAUAGCUCGACUAGGAUUACAUUGAAUCUUAUAGAUAACUCCUAAAAGAUCUAAUCUUAUCACUUCAUUAAACCGUUGCCUUGCGGUUCAAUUGUCGGUUUGCUUUUCAACCUUAAACCAACAAUCUCCCCCUUAAGCUUGAGCUCAAGCUUCUUCAUGUCUUGAACACCAAUGAGAUCUCUCAUCUCCUUAAACUUGUUUCUCCCCAAAGCCUUUGUCAGUAUGUCCACCUUCUGUUCUUCACCCGGGACAUGCUCAACUUCAAUUUGCCCAUUUUCAACGCACUCUCGUAUAAAAUGGUACUUCCAGUGAAUGUGUUUACUUCUUCCGUGAAACAUUGUGUUCUUGGUAAGUGUAAUUGCUGACUUAUUAUCAGCUCGUAUGGUUACUUUUUUACACAUUGUACCAAUGAUCUCGGCAAACAAUUCUUGGAGCCAAAUCGCUUGCUUAGCUGCCUCCGUUGCCGCCAUGAACUCAGCUUCACAAGAGGAUAGUGCCACAACUUGUUGUUUUUGAGAGAACCAUGUGAUCGGAGAUUCAUUAAGGUAAACACAUGACCUGCGGUACUCUUUCCAUCGUCGAUAUCCACACUAUGACUGCUAUCACUGUAACCAAUUAGUCCCAACUCUGUUCCUUGCUUAAAGCAGAGACCGUGUUCAAGAGUUCCUCGAAUGUAUCUCAGAACUUGUCUCAAAGCCGUCCCGUGUGACUCUCUUGGCUCUUGUAAGUAUCUGCUUAAAAUUCCAACACUAAAUGAGAGGUCAGGCCGUGUAUGUAGUAGAUACCUAAAGCACCCGAUGUUUCUUCUGUAAUCUUGUUCAUUGACCUGCUUCUCUCCUUAUGCUUUAGAAAGCUCUAAACCUGCUAUCAUUGGUGUUUGAACUGCAUUACAUUCACUCAACCCAGCUUCUUCCAGAAUUUUUCUUGCAUAUCUUUCUUGUUUCAACACGAUUUCACCUUCUCCUUGGAAGACCUCAAUACCAAGAUAGUAGGUAAGCUUCCCCAAAUCACUCAUUUCAAACUUUCCCGACAUCUCCCUUUUGAAAGUAUUUAUCAAAUCUAAGCUGGAUCCCGUGACUAACAAGUCAUCAACAUAUACUGCUACAAUAAGAAGAGUCUCCUUUUCUUGUUUUCAGUAAAGCGACGGCUCUUUGGAACAUUUUUCAAAAUUUAAAUCCCUCAAUAUUCAGUUGAGUUUAGUGUUCCAAGCCCGAGGUGCUUGCCACAAUCCAUAAAGAGCUUUGUGUAGUUUAUAAACCUUUUCCUCUCUUCCUUUGGUUACAAAACCCUCUGGUUGAGUAACAUAAACAUCUUCUUUCAGUUCUCCGUGAAGAAACGCGGUUUUUACGUCUAAGUGGUGUAUUUCCAAUCCGUUUGAGGCUGCUAAAGCAAUGAUAAGACGGAUUGAUUCAAUUCGAGCUACAGGGGCAAAAACUUCAUCGAAAUCUACUCCAUGUUUUUGCACGUAUCCUUUUGCCACUAAUCUUGCCUUGUGUUUAUUUAUGCUCCCGUCUGAGUUUCGUUUUAGCUUAAAAACCCAUUUAAGAACAAUGGGUUUACUUCCAACACGGAGAUCAACAAGACUCCACCUUUUGUUCUUUGUUAUAGACAUGAUCUCCUCUUCACAUGCAUUUUUCCAUUCUUGUGAUUUAUUUGCCUCUUUGAAAUCCCAUGGUUCUUCAUUUAUCAUAAGUAGGAGCUGUUCUCCUUCUAUUUCGGCAAGUAACACAUAAUCACUUAAAUAGGUUGGCUUUGUAACCUGUCUCCCUGAUCUUCUUAACAACGGUGGAGGUUGUGGCUGCUCUGUUUCAACAUUAUCAGUCUCGGAUUCAUCAGUACCUUCUUCAUCUUCUCUAUCGGAUCCAUUCUCAACAUCUCUGUUUUCCUCUGUCUCUUGAUUAACUCCAUUAUUAUCAAUUCCAUGAUUACCAAACUCUCCAAAAUUGAGAGUAAAGGUUCCUGUUUCUUGACUGGAUUUCUCGGAGUCUUUCCACUUCCAACUCUGGGUUCAUCGAAGACGACAUCUCUGCUUACUGUGAUUUUACGAGUGGUUGGAUCAAGAAGUCUGUACGCCUUUGAACCGGGCUCUGUCCCAAGGUGUACCAACACUCUUGAUCUAUCAUCAAGUUUUCUUAAAUGCGGUCCAUCAACUUUUGCAUAGCUAACACAUCCAAAUACUCUCACAUGCUCUAAGUUUGGCUUCUUUUUCUUGAAUGCUUCAUAUGGAGUUUGGUAAGCUAAGGCUCUAGUUCCCACUCUGUUUAUUAAAUAGGUUGAAUGUCUGACAGCUUCUCCCCACAGAUAAUUAGGUAAGUUCAUAUGUUUCAAAAUGCUCCUAGUCAUCUCAAGCAAAGUCCUAUUUCUUCUUUCAACCACUCCAUUCUGUUGAGGGCUGUAUGGUGUGGUUAAGUGCCUAUUGAUGCCUUCCCUUUCACAAAACUCUUGAAAAUCAUGAGACAAAAAUUCUCCUCCUCUGUCUGUUCUAAGUGUUUUGAUUUUUGCACCACUCUCUUGCUCAACUUUCUUCUUGAAGUUCUUGAAUUUCUCAAAUGCCUCUCCUUUCUCCUUUAACAAAAUGGACCACAUGUAGCGAGAAUGAUCAUCUAUCAACACAAAAACAUAUAUUUUCUUAGCAGCCGUAGAGGGUGAUAUAGGACCACAAAGGUCACCAUGCACCAACUCAAGAAUAUGUGAUGCCCGAUACAAAGUUGCUUUUGGAAACGUUUUCCUUGUUUGUUUUCCAAGUAAGCAAGAUGAGCAUGUUUCUUUUUCUUUGGGAGCAGCCGAUAUUCCUUUAACCAUCUCUUUUGCAACCAUUGUUUUAAGUGUCUCAAGAUUAAUAUGUCCAAGUCAGGCGUGCCAUUUGUUUGAGUCGCUUGAUGUUAUAAGCUGCAAGCAGUUUUUUUCUUCAACCUCUAAGAUUACCUUGUACAAGCGGUUUCUUGAUCGUGUAGCUCUCACUAACAAAUUUCCAUCUCGGUCAUGUAGAGUGAGGUAAUCUUCUUUCAGUCUAACGUCACAUCCUGACUCAGUGGCUUGUCCUAGACUUAUGAUAUUACUUUUGAGAUCUGGUAUAUAGUACACAUCUUCUAGGAUCUUUCUUUCACCAGUUUUUGUCAAGAAGAGAAUUGAGCCCUUUCCCUUUAUGUCAAUGCACGAAUCGUCUCCAAACCUUACUCUUCCCGUGACCAUCUCAUUCAUCUUGUAGAACCAAGCUCGCUGUCCCAUCAUGUGAUUGCUCGCCCCAUUGUCGAGAUACCAAGUUUUCUCAGAACAUGUUUCAAACACUUUUGGCAUCACGUUGUUCUCAUUCAAGUACACUACCUCGUGCAUCAUAAGGGAUUCUGCAUCUUGAGUAUCAUCUUCCUCUUUCUCUUGUGUUUCUUGAAGCUUGAUCAACUUUAAAAGUCUAUCCGGACAAUUAGAGGUAUAGUUCCUUGUUUUGUCACAUCGGUAACAAGUCACUUUGGACUUGUCUCUUUGAACAUACUCUCUUUGUUGAUAUCCAAAUCUUCCUCGGCCUCUUCCAAAACGACCGCGGCCUCUUCCUCUACCUCCAUCUUGUGACUCCGAGCUAACAUACAUGAGUUUGCCUUGGUCUUCCUGUGAAUCUUCUUCUUCAUCAUAUACUCUGUCUUCGUAUGUUUUAAGUCUUCCUACAAUAUCUUCAAAGGUUGUUGUUUUGAGAUCAAGGACUUGCUCUAGGGCUGCGAUUAUAUGGAUGUAUUUCUUCCUAGGUAAGCUCUUGAGAAACUUCUUAACAACCUUUGUCUCUUCAAUAUUUUCUCCUAAGGAUGCUGCUUUUGUAGAAAUUUCAGAGAUUCUCCCCGCAAAGUCGUCGAUGGUGUCACUUUCCUUCAUCUUCAACCUAUCAAACUCAUUCAUAAGCGUCUGUAACCUUGCUUCUUUCACUUGGUCAGCACCAAGGUUUCUAGCUUUGAUGGCAUCCCAGACACCUUUUGCGGUUUCGUGUUCUCCAACUUGUAAAAUCAUGGACUUUGGUAUAGAUUGGAACAAUAGAGCACGGGCCAUAUCGUUUUUAUCUAUAUCAGUAGAACCAGGAUCGAUUGUCUCCCACGCCUUAUGCACUCGGAGAGCAGCCUUCAUCCUCAUAGUCCAAACAGUAUAGUUAGAACUAUUUAGCAUUGGACAUUUUAUGGAUGAUGACCCUCCUUCCUUCGGCUUGUUCCCCGUCGUAGCCAAUUCACUCAUGUCUCGUAUGAUCUUCGUUCUUGCUUAAAUUCGAGAAACAAAGCUAAAAUUCUCUGAUACCAAAUCUAGAAUUGAAUAGUAUGAACAAGGAGUUAAGAAAACACUUUUCUUUAUUAACUUUAGAACUAACUCAAACUAAAGUUUUCCUUAAUCUCUCUCAAUUCUCACAAGAUAUAUCACAACCCGAUAUAUGCUUAUAUAGUAAAGUCUCAAACCCUAAUCAUAGCUCGACUAGGAUUACAUUGAAUCUUAUAGAUAACUCCUAAAAGAUCUAAUCUUAUCACUUCAUUAAACCGUUGCCUUGCGGUUCAAGUAAUUGUCGGUUUGCUUCUCAAGCUUAAACCAACAGGCUAUAACACAACAACAAACACAUAAACACGGACAAGAAGAAGGAAUACUACUAAACCCUAAUAACCGUUACCCGAAAACUCAAACCAAAGAUGAUUAAACACACACCAACUAUAACACACCAACCAACAUAUAAACAUGGCCUAAAAGAGGGAAUACUAAACCCUAAUCACCGCUAUUGAGGGGAACCCAAACCAAGAAUUAUAAUAACACUGAGUAAUGUAAGCCGUGGAAACAAAACAUAACAUCACAAAAUAUAUAGAAACAAACUAAAAAAGAAGAAGUGAAAAAGAGGGUUAGUGAAUGUAGUUCCCUACUCUUCUCCUUGGAAUUUUCAUCGAACAUGUUGUGUGUGCUUAUAAAAGAAGUCAUCUAACUCGGUUAUUUCCGGAAAAAAUGGGGCCAUUAUGCAAGAAGUCUUCUAACGAUCAAUCAAUUUCUAGAAACGAAUGUAAAAUAAGAGCUGUAUUCAUCGACCAAGACAGAAAAGUAAGAUUCAACGACAAAUGCCCAUAAGAACAUGGUCGAAGUCAAGCUAAUGCAAGCAUUUCAUUUCAAAACGAAAUCAAGUUUUUUUGUCCAUAAUAACAGAAAACGAAGAAAAAUUCUGUGAAUUUAGAAAAAAAGGAGGUUAAACUAACAAAGUAGGAGAAGCAGAAGCUCAUGAGAAGUGUGAAUCACAUUGUCGAAGUCACUCACAAGACAUGAGACCAUCUCCAAUGUAAAUCUCUAUGUUUUACGCUAAAAUAGAAUAACUCUAAAAUAGAGAAUGUUUUCUCUCCAAUGUAUCACUACUCUAUAUCCUAUUUUAAAAUAGAGUU